CUCGAACUGGCGACACUGCCAAAUUGCGGGGACACCCUAAAGACCUUGACACCAAGCACCAUCGGAAACGGUGGUGUGGCCGAGCUAAUUGCCCUGGGUAUGGUAAUAGUUCAAGGUAUGAGACUCCCUCCGCCAGGGGGGAAAAGAAGUCGAAAUGGGCAAUCCGCAGCCAAGUCCUACAGCCUUCCUCUUGCCGGGGAGGCCACGGACGCUGUUCACAGGCCAAAUGGUAGUGGGUGAACCUAUUAGGUUCGCUUAAGAUAUGGUCGGUCUCUGGGCGAAAGCCCAGGGGUAAGUUUCACUGAAACCCUCCACAAACGUUCCGUAGGUGAACCUGCGGAAGGAUCAUUAAUGAGUUAGGGUCUCCUAGGCCCGACCUCCCAACCCUUUGCUUACUAGACCUCAGUUGCUUCGGCAGGCCCGUCUUAAUCUGACCGCUGGAGGACCGCCUAAUGCGGGUGUUACCUCUGGCCAGUGUCUGCCGAUAGCCUAAUCUCCUAACUCUGGAUCAAUCAUGAUUUACAAUGUCUAAGUGAUUUUAUUCAAUUAAAAGCAAAAACUUUCAACAACGGAUCUCUUGGUUCUGGCAUCGAUGAAGAACGCAGCGAAAUGCGAUAAGUAAUGCGAAUUGCAGAAUUCCAGUGAGUCAUCGAAUCUUUGAACGCACAUUGCGCCCUUUGGUAUUCCG
Molecule: ribosomal RNA, 688 nt
Filed under: Fonsecaea pedrosoi
Lineage: Eukaryota; Fungi; Ascomycota; Eurotiomycetes; Chaetothyriales; Herpotrichiellaceae
Description: partial 18S ribosomal RNA
Rfam family: 5.8S ribosomal RNA (bases 558-688)
Source: RNAcentral